UCACUGAAUUUGAUAGCUUUAUUCGUGAUCAUGAAGAAGCAUCGUUUCCACGAACUGCGGCUGAUGCCUUAGAUCUAAAAACAUGUUACAACAAAUGCAACCAAAGCUACGACAAAUUGGCGUCACUAAUAUCAGAAACUAGAUGGAAAUUUUGCAGAAUGUUGUGCAAAGAGACAAACCAUAUUAUAAAACGGUGCAUGGAAUCCUCUGGUGGGAAUAGAGAUAAAGCUGUGAGAUGCAUACAAAGAUCGUUUGGAAUAUUGUUGGAAUCUUUAUCAAAAAAAUAUAAACUAUUAAAUUAAUUAUUAUAUAUU
This 314-nucleotide long non-coding RNA is filed under the name Arachis ipaensis. Its description in RNAcentral is "long non-coding RNA (AIPA_LNC000480)". Lineage: Eukaryota; Viridiplantae; Streptophyta; Magnoliopsida; Fabales; Fabaceae. The record is from RNAcentral.